GGCUGAAACUCGCCUACAUGAAGCUGGAGUUGCUAGUAAUCGCGAAUCAGCAUGUCGCGGUGAGUACGUUCCCGGGCCUUGUACACACCGCCCGUCACACCAUGAGAGUUGGCAAUACCCAACGUACGUGAUCUAACCCGCAAGGGAGGAAGCGUCCUAAGGUAGGGUCAGCGAUUGGGGUGAAGUCGUAACAAGGUAAC
RNAcentral lists this ribosomal RNA (200 nucleotides) under uncultured bacterium. RNAcentral describes it as "partial 16S ribosomal RNA". It matches the Rfam family "Bacterial small subunit ribosomal RNA", at positions 1303 to 1500 of the family's 1533-position model. The record is from RNAcentral.